AGCUUUAUAUUCAAAUAAUAGUGAUUAUAGAAUGCAAUUCUAUAGGAGUGGUAAAAUUAAUUAAGCCCACUAAGGCUU
RNAcentral lists this transfer RNA (78 nucleotides) under Allacta bimaculata. Its description in RNAcentral is "tRNA-Cys". Lineage: Eukaryota; Metazoa; Arthropoda; Insecta; Blattodea; Pseudophyllodromiidae. The record is from RNAcentral.